AUAGAGAGAGAGGAGAGUAAUAGAGAGAGAGGGAUAGUAAUAGAGAGAGAGGAUAGUGAUAGAGAGAGAGGGGAUAUAAUAGAGAGAGAGGAUAGUAAUAGAGAGAGUGGAUAGUAAUAGAGAGAGAGGAUAGUGAUAGAGAGAGAGGGGAUAGUAAUGUAGAGAGAGGAUAGUAAUAGAGAGUCUGGGGAUAGUAAUAGAGAGAGAGGAUAGUAAUGGAGAGAGGGAUAGUAAUAUAGAGAGAGCAAAUGUUAUAGAGGGAAAGGGAUAGUAAUGUUGAGAGGGGAUAGUAGUAGAGAGAGAGGGAUAGUAAUAGAGAGAGAGGGAUAGUAAUAGAGAGAGAGGGGAUAGUAAUAGAGAGAGGGAUAGUAAUAGAGAGAGAGGUGGGAUAGUAAUAAAGAGAUAGGGAUAGUAAUAGAGAGAGGGAUAGUAAUGUAGAAAGGGGAUAGUAAUAGAGAGAGAGGAUAGUAAUAGAGAGAGAGGAUAGUAAUAGAGAGAGAGGGAUAGUAAUAGAGAGAGAGGGAUAGUAAUAGAGAGAGAGGGAUAGUAAUAGAGAGAGAGG
Molecule: long non-coding RNA, 562 nt
Filed under: Salmo salar (Atlantic salmon)
Lineage: Eukaryota; Metazoa; Chordata; Actinopteri; Salmoniformes; Salmonidae
Description: lncRNA (ENSSSAG00000103601.1)
Source: RNAcentral